GGAUACUUAGUACGGCGAGUGAGCGGUAAAAGCUCAAAUUUGAAAUCUGGUACUUUCAGUGCCCGAGUUGUAAUUUGUAGAAUUUGUCUUUGAUUAGGUCCUUGUCUAUGUUCCUUGGAACAGGACGUCAUAGAGGGUGAGAAUCCCGUUUGGCGAGGAUACCUUUUCUCUGUAAGACUUUUUCGAAGAGUCGAGUUGUUUGGGAAUGCAGCUCAAAGUGGGUGGUAAAUUCCAUCUAAAGCUAAAUAUUGGCGAGAGACCGAUAGCGAACAAGUACAGUGAUGGAAAGAUGAAAAGAACUUUGAAAAGAGAGUGAAAAAGUACGUGAAAUUGUUGAAAGGGAAGGGCAUUUGAUCAGACAUGGUGUUUUUUGCAUGCACUCGCCUCUCGUGGGCUUGGGCCUCUCAAAAAUUUCACUGGGCCAACAUCAAUUCUGGCAGCAGGAUAAAUCAUUAAGAAUGUAGCUACUUCGGUAGUGUUAUAGCUUUUUGGAAUACUGUUAGCCGGGAUUGAGGACUGCGCUUCGGCAAGGAUGUUGGCAUAAUGGUUAAAUGCCGCCCGUCUUGAAACACGGACCAA
Molecule: ribosomal RNA, 579 nt
Filed under: Hanseniaspora uvarum
Lineage: Eukaryota; Fungi; Ascomycota; Saccharomycetes; Saccharomycodales; Saccharomycodaceae
Description: partial large subunit ribosomal RNA
Rfam family: Eukaryotic large subunit ribosomal RNA
Source: RNAcentral